UCGAGAAUCUUUCGCAAUGGACGGAAGUCUGACGAAGCGACGCCGCGUGUGUGAUGAAGGCUCUAGGGUUGUAAAGCACUUUCGCUUGGGAAUAAGAGAAGGCGGUUAAUACCCGCCGGAUUUGAGCGUACCAGGUAAAGAAGCACCGGCUAACUCCGUGCCAGCAGCUGCGGUAAUACGGAGGGUGCUAGCGUUAAUCGGAUUUAUUGGGCGUAAAGGGCGUGUAGGCGGAAGAGUAAGUCAGUUGUCAAAUCUCGGGGCUCAACCCCGAAUCGGCAUCUGAUACUAUUUUUCUAGAGGGUAGAUGGAGAAAAGGGAAUUUCACGUGUAGCGGUGAAAUGCGUAGAUAUGUGGAAGAACACCAGUGGCGAAGGCGCUUUUCUAAUUUACACCUGACGCUAAGGCGCGAAAGCAAGGGGAGCAAACAGG
Molecule: ribosomal RNA, 429 nt
Filed under: uncultured bacterium
Lineage: Bacteria
Description: bacterial SSU rRNA
Rfam family: Bacterial small subunit ribosomal RNA
Source: RNAcentral